Long non-coding RNA from Trichogramma pretiosum, 503 nucleotides. RefSeq lists it as uncharacterized. The transcript has 3 exons. The record is from RefSeq and is a predicted model, not a curated record. Lineage: Eukaryota; Metazoa; Arthropoda; Insecta; Hymenoptera; Trichogrammatidae.
GUUGUUGUUGUUGCUGCUGCUGCUGUGGAGCUGCUAGACAGAUAGCUUAUUUCCUGUUGUAUCAUUCAGUUGUUGGUUCACUACUUGACUAAAACCAAACAAUUGAUCUGAGACUACGUGACAUUCAAUGAAUGAUAGAUAUUCUUAAAUGAGUUGUUGUGUUACGGAACUGCAAGAUCUUGCACUUCUCUCACUUAUAAAUGUAUUAAGAACUGCCAGAUCUUAAUCUUCCCAGAUGCUGAUGAGUGAGUAUGCGAGUUGUAUCUGGAGGUAAUUAUGGAAUUUAAAAAAUUUUGUUUUCUCUCUACCUGUGACUAUCAAGGAUAAAAAAUAUAACAUUUUUCAGGGAUUGGAAAUCAAAAGUCACGUUUUCACCAAAAUUGAUAUCAUGACCAAGAAAUGGAAAGGAGAGUGCAGAAUAUUGAAACCAUACCCAAAUUAUAAACUAGUUUGCUAAUAUAUAUAAUUGGCAUCUUUAUAUUUGUACAUUUUCCGUUCGACAC